This 496-nucleotide ribosomal RNA is filed under the name uncultured bacterium. RNAcentral describes it as "partial 16S ribosomal RNA". It matches the Rfam family "Bacterial small subunit ribosomal RNA", at positions 28 to 506 of the family's 1533-position model. The record is from RNAcentral.
GAUGAACGCUGGCGGCGUGCCUAAUACAUGCAAGUCGAGCGAACAGACGAGGAGCUUGCUCCUCUGACGUUAGCGGCGGACGGGUGAGUAACACGUGGAUAACCUACCUAUAAGACUGGGAUAACUUCGGGAAACCGGAGCUAAUACCGGAUAAUAUAUUGAACCGCAUGGUUCAAUAGUGAAAGACGGUUUUGCUGUCACUUAUAGAUGGAUCCGCGCCGCAUUAGCUAGUUGGUAAGGUAACGGCUUACCAAGGCAACGAUGCGUAGCCGACCUGCGAGGGUGAUCGGCCACACUGGAACUGAGACACGGUCCAGACUCCUACGGGAGGCAGCAGUAGGGAAUCUUCCGCAAUGGGCGAAAGCCUGACGGAGCAACGCCGCGUGAGUGAUGAAGGUCUUCGGAUCGUAAAACUCUGUUAUUAGGGAAGAACAAAUGUGUAAGUAACGAUGCACGUCUUGACGGUACCUAAUCAGAAAGCCACGGCUAACUACGU